AUCCAGCCGACGAGUCCCAAAUAGAACGAAACGCAUGUCCUGGAU
This 45-nucleotide non-coding RNA is filed under the name Schistosoma mansoni. Lineage: Eukaryota; Metazoa; Platyhelminthes; Trematoda; Strigeidida; Schistosomatidae. The record is from RNAcentral.